AAAUUGAAGAGUUUGAUCAUGGCUCAGAUUGAACGCUGGCGGCAGGCCUAACACAUGCAAGUCGAACGGUAGCACAGAGAGCUUGCUCUCGGGUGACGAGUGGCGGACGGGU
RNAcentral lists this ribosomal RNA (112 nucleotides) under Citrobacter freundii. RNAcentral's name for it is "partial 16S ribosomal RNA". It matches the Rfam family "Bacterial small subunit ribosomal RNA", at positions 1 to 107 of the family's 1533-position model. RNAcentral also lists the same sequence under 13 other names. Lineage: Bacteria; Pseudomonadati; Pseudomonadota; Gammaproteobacteria; Enterobacterales; Enterobacteriaceae. The record is from RNAcentral.